This 150-nucleotide unclassified non-coding RNA is filed under the name uncultured Microascaceae. RNAcentral describes it as "sequence contains ITS1". Lineage: Eukaryota; Fungi; Ascomycota; Sordariomycetes; Microascales. The record is from RNAcentral.
CCGAGUUAUUACUCCAAACCCUUUGUGAACCUUACCUUACUGUUGCUCGGCGUACCGCGGGCCGCGGCUUCGGCCCGUCCCGCAGCGCGCCAGAGGACCCAACUCUUCUAUUUUAUAGCGUACCUUCUGAUUUACAAUACAAACAAGUUA